Molecule: long non-coding RNA, 586 nt
Organism: Hippocampus comes (tiger tail seahorse)
Lineage: Eukaryota; Metazoa; Chordata; Actinopteri; Syngnathiformes; Syngnathidae
Exons: 3
Source: RefSeq, a predicted model, not a curated record
GAUCACUUCAUUCAUGGCGCUGCUGCUCUGCAUGGGCACCAUGUGAAGGGCAAAAGCGCCAUCUGGUGGCGAGGAGGAAGGCUAAAUUUGGGGGAGUGGGAUCCAAUGGUGCCACCAAAAGGGGAUUCCGGAAUAACCUGUUUCAUGAAUGGAAAUGACAAAAUUCCGGGGACGACAAGUGGAAUGUGUCAUCCUUCGACAAUUAUGAGGCACUGCGGCCAAGUGGGGAAGUGACCCAGUCGGGGGAGAUGUUACUGCGAGCUAGUGGACUGGAGUGGAACACUAUAAACAAGUCAAGAUUUUAAAUAACAUGAGAAAGAAAGAAUGGGCAACGAGCAUGCAAGCUCAUUUGUUUUCAUCAUCCAUCGCUUUUUUUUUUUUGUCUUGUAAGCAAAUGUACUGGUCGCCCGCUGUGUCCUCACUAAUUGGAACUGCCAGGUGUCCCUGGGCUGGCUUGGAAGAAGAAGAAGAAGAAGGUAAGAGUGUGAAGCAGGAGGUGAAUGCCACUGAUGAGAUGGAAUGAGGAAGUAGACAAGCGGCUUUCAGGCGCUAGCAGGAGACAAAAUGACGAAUAAAGACAACUUGG